UAAAGACUUAAGUAUACGCCGGUCAAUACUAACAACAGUUUAAAAUCCAAAGAAUUUGGCGGUAUCUUAAAUGCUCAGGGGAACCUGUACCUUAAUUUGAUGAUCCACACAACUCAAUCCAUAUUUUGAAUUUCAGCCUGUGUACUGCUGUCGUCAGUAAACCUUUUAAAAGAAAGUUUACAACCAUACUACUAUAACCACGUCAAGUCAAAGUGCAGCCUAUAAUAUGGUGAGUAUGGGUUACUAUUCCAAUAUGAAUACGAACUACUAUAAUAAAAAUUAGUAUGAAGGUGGACUUGAUAGUAAUACUUAUAUAUAAUUAGUAUAAACUUCAUCUAAGAUAUGCACACAUCGCCCGUCGCUCUCGUUCAAUUUG
RNAcentral lists this ribosomal RNA (376 nucleotides) under Grania sperantia. Its description in RNAcentral is "partial 12S ribosomal RNA". Lineage: Eukaryota; Metazoa; Annelida; Clitellata; Enchytraeida; Enchytraeidae. The record is from RNAcentral.